AGAGUUUGAUCCUGGCUCAGAACGAACGCUGGCGGCAGGCCUCAAACAUGCAAGUCUAGGGGGUGCAGCAAUGCAUCACCGGCGGACGGGUGCGUAACACGUGGGAAUAUACCUUUUGGUUCGGAACAACUGAGGGAAACUUCAGCUAAUACCGAAUGUGCCCUAACGGGGAAAGAUUUAUCGCCAAAGGAUUAGCCCGCGUUCGAUUAGCUAGUUGGUAGGGUAACGGCCUACCAAGGCGACGAUCGAUAGCUGUUCUGAGAGGAAGAUCAGCCACACUGGGACUGAGACACGACCCAGACUCCUACGGGAGGCAGCAGUUGGGAAUCUUGGACAAUGGGGGAAACCCUGAUCCAGCCAUGCCGCGUGAGUGAUGAAGGCCUUCGGGUUGUAAAACUCUUUCGACGGGGACGAUAAUGACGGUACCCGUAGAAGAAGCUCCGGCUAACUUCGUGCCAGCAGCCGCGGUAAUACGAAGGGGGCUAGCGUUGUUCGGAAUUACUGGGCGUAAAGCGCGCGCAGGCGGUUUUCCAAGCCAGUGGUGAAAGCCCGGAGCUCAACUCCGGAACUGCCAUUGAAACUGUUAAACUUGAGGACGAGAGAGGUGAGUGGAAUUCCCAGUGUAGAGGUGAAAUUCGUAGAUAUUGGGAAGAACACCGGUGGCGAAGGCGGCUCACUGGCUCGUUUCUGACGCUCAGGCGCGACAGCGUGGGGAUCAAACAGGAUUAGAUACCCUGGUAGUCCACGCCGUAAACGAUGAUUGCUAGCCGUUGGGCAGCUUGCUGUUCAGUGGCGCAGCUAACGCAUUAAGCA
Molecule: ribosomal RNA, 813 nt
Filed under: uncultured bacterium
Lineage: Bacteria
Description: bacterial SSU rRNA
Rfam family: Bacterial small subunit ribosomal RNA
Source: RNAcentral